This 497-nucleotide ribosomal RNA is filed under the name uncultured bacterium. RNAcentral describes it as "partial 16S ribosomal RNA". It matches the Rfam family "Bacterial small subunit ribosomal RNA", at positions 28 to 507 of the family's 1533-position model. The record is from RNAcentral.
GAUGAACGCUGGCGGCGUGCCUAAUACAUGCAAGUCGAGCGAACAGACGAGGAGCUUGCUCCUCUGACGUUAGCGGCGGACGGGUGAGUAACACGUGGAUAACCUACCUAUAAGACUGGGAUAACUUCGGGAAACCGGAGCUAAUACCGGAUAAUAUAUUGAACCGCAUGGUUCAAUAGUGAAAGACGGUUUUGCUGUCACUUAUAGAUGGAUCCGCGCCGCAUUAGCUAGUUGGUAAGGUAACGGCUUACCAAGGCAACGAUGCGUAGCCGACCCGAGAGGGUGAUCCGCCACACUGGAACUGAGACACGGUCCCGACUCCGACGGGAGGCAACAGCAGGGAAUCUUCCGCAAUGGGCGAAAGCCUGACGGAGCAACGCCGCGUGAGUCAUGAAGGUCUUAGGAUCCUAAAACUCUGUUAUUAGGGAAGUACAAAUGUGCAAGUACCUAUGCACGUCUUGACGGUACCUAAUCAGAAAGCCACGGCUAACUACGUG